ACGCAGGCUCGUCCAAGGCCGGUGACCAUCGCCGCAUGCUCGACGAUCAGCUGCGCUCUCGCCGUCGACGGACCUCGACGUGGGAACUUCCUGCGGGCCACAGCGAUCCCGUUCGCGGAUUCCCUCACGGAAUUAUCACCGGAACAGCACCGCAUUCCACAAGUGCAAUUCUCGAGUGAUCCCAAUCUACUGGAGAGUGAUAUUUGGAGAGAUAUUAUAAUUAAAAUUUGGUGAAUUUAGACGAAAUAAUUUUAAUUAGUGUUCAGCUUAUACAAUAAAAUAUAUUUAGUAAUUAAAUUAUUAGUGCCAUUACUAAAUAGUACCAUUACUAAAUGGUACAUUUGAUUACAUUAACUAAAUAAUUAAUUGAAAUUAUUUCACCAAAGUUUACUAAUUAUCUAAGUUUAGUUAUUAUUAUUACUAAACUCUUUUUUGCGUACUCUCUACUAGAAAAAAUCCAAGACAAAACUUUUAAUCAAAUGCAAUCUAAGUAAUAUACAUUCCUGAAAUGAUAUAGCCUUUGAUUAUUAAAAUGACAAUUAUUUAAAAAUAAAAAAUUAUUGUAUUCACACACACAAAUUAAUUUCUCUACAAAAAUAAUGAUAUGUAAUUUGCGUACUCUCUAUAUAAAUUGAUGUACUAAAUUACUGUUCUUAUAAUUAUGAUCAGUGAUUGUUCACUUUCUAUUAGUGAUUCUGAUAAAGAAUGUAUUAUAAUUCCACAUAUUACGAAAAAUUUAUAAAUAGCUCUAUUUCUUACAUUUAAAUAUCUAUAUAUAAUUUGAGCAUCAUUCUUUUAUUAAUUUAAAAGCUAUUUUAUAUUUUACUUGCUCUUAUGUAAAAUCGCGCUUGUACUUAUCUGCAAAUUUGAUAAAUGGCAUUACAAAUUAAAUUAAAUUUUUUUACAUGUAGGUACUAAUAAAAAUCUAAUAUUGUGCAAAAA
Long non-coding RNA from Monomorium pharaonis (pharaoh ant), 942 nucleotides. RefSeq lists it as uncharacterized. The record is from RefSeq and is a predicted model, not a curated record. The transcript is spliced from 2 exons. Lineage: Eukaryota; Metazoa; Arthropoda; Insecta; Hymenoptera; Formicidae.